Molecule: ribosomal RNA, 460 nt
Filed under: uncultured bacterium
Lineage: Bacteria
Description: bacterial SSU rRNA
Rfam family: Bacterial small subunit ribosomal RNA
Source: RNAcentral
UACGGAAGGCAGCAGUGGGGAAUAUUGCACAAUGGGCGCAAGCCUGAUGCAGCCAUGCCGCGUGUAUGAAGAAGGCCUUCGGGUUGUAAAGUACUUUCAGCGGGGAGGAAGGCGGAUGCGGUUAAUAACCGCGUCGAUUGACGUUACCCGCAGAAGAAGCACCGGCUAACUCCGUGCCAGCAGCCGCGGUAAUACGGAGGGUGCAAGCGUUAAUCGGAAUUACUGGGCGUAAAAGCGCACGCAGGCGGUCUGUUAAGUCAGAUGUGAAAAUCCCCGGGCUUAAACCUGGGAACUGCAUUUUGAAACUGGCAGGCUUGAGUCUUGUAGAGGGGGUAGAAAUUCCAGGUGUAGCGGUGAAAAUGCGUAGAGAUCUGGAGGAAAUACCGGUGGCGAAAGGCGGGCCCCUGGACAAAAGAACUGACGCUCAGGUGCGAAAAGACGUGGGGAGGCAAAACAAGGA